Molecule: long non-coding RNA, 2426 nt
Organism: Pogoniulus pusillus (Red-fronted tinkerbird)
Lineage: Eukaryota; Metazoa; Chordata; Aves; Piciformes; Lybiidae
Exons: 2
Source: RefSeq, a predicted model, not a curated record
AGUGCAAUAACUUCAACUUUCAGGCCUUUUCUGGAUUGCACAGCAUAUUUCAGUAAUUAAUGCUUUUAGCAUACUGGAGCUUCCUAUCCUAUGGGUGAAGCCACACAUUUCAGCUGCUUAAUUUCUACCAACUGUGGUUAUCAAGCAACACUGCAGAAUGUUCAAAGACUUUGCUGAAAGAGCAACAACAUUCUGUAGUGGUUGCCAGUUUGUUCUCUCUCUCUUUUGUUGUUGUUGGUUGGCUGUUUUUGUGGGUUGUCUUUUCAUAUGAUGCUGAGUAGGUCAUAUAUUUAACACUGCCCUUAUCAUCUUAUAGUAUGGAAAAUUUCAUUGCUAUUUCAGAAUUUAUUUGGUAGCACUAAGCUAUUGAGAAAAAGGUACAGGAACUAAUAGCAAUGUUUUUUUUUUAAGUACAGGUUUUUCUUUUUUAACAUAUAAGAAAGGAAAGACUUAAGGGGAGUAAAGUUCAGCAGACAAGAUAGAAUGCAGGAGUGAAUUGUGCUAAGUCAGUAGAAGCAUGACAGCCUCAUAAUGGUUAACAUCAGUCAACUUAUGUGAGAUUCUGAAGUGUCAUGCCAUUAGAAGAACAGGCAAGGAAAAAAUCGCCCCUGAAUUCUGAGCACAGGUGAAGAAUGAAAGUUUAAACUGUCCCAAGUUGCCAGUAUGUGAACGAUAGGAACGCCGCCUUUAUGUGAGUGCAAAGGGACUUACUGCAGUUAACUUAAGAUUUUCUGUGUUUUAUUUGUACUUCUACUUCCUCAACAUAAUGGAUUUUCUGAACAAUGCUUUAUCUGUUAGGUUACAAAGCUAUUUUCACUAGUUUCAAGCAGUCAUCUUUGGCUGCAUGCAGUCUAGCUAGGAUGAAAUCUACCAAUAAUGUAAUGUGAGCUAACGGAGAAAAUACAGUUGGUAAGAGAGAUCAAGGCAGGAUCCAGUUUUGAUUAAUUUGAUUUUGACCUUCCCUUCAUUCCUCUUACAGAUCUUGUCACUGAAUGCCCUUUGAGCCAUUUAAAACGUACAGAUAUAUCCAUCCUAGUUUUAUUUCCAGGGAAGAACUGUAGAGGUUCAAGAUCAGGACAGUAGGGAGCACAUUGAUGUAGUGCACAAUGAAGUUCUGCUAGGAAAUGCCUGUUUGUUGUAUGCAUUUUCAGGAAAGAUUUCUCAAGAGAGUCCAGCUGAGACAAAUGAUAGAGCUGAAAAAGGAGCAGCAUAUGUUUCUAAUAUUUCUGUGGAUGUACCCAUAAUGGAAAUGGAUUAGCUGCAUACCCCUGUGCAGCACAGGUAGUUCUGUUUUGUAGAAAUGCUUUCAAUCUCUUCAAAUGUGAACAUCCAAGUGCCUGCCAGUAUCAGAAAUGUCUGUUUUGUAUAACUCGCAUUUUACCUUACUUUUUUUUCUGGAAAGAAAUAGUGUGUGGUUCUGUUUUCCAAUGGAUUUGAGUUUUUGUCAAAUAUGUGUUUACUUCUGUGUCUUUUUGUGAGAGAGAAAGCAUUGCUGUCGUUGGAAUGGAGAGAUGAGACUGUUUUGGGACUCAUAACUGGGAAUAUUCAGUCUGUGUCAGAAAUGAAAUUAACUUUUCUAGAAAGCAGGUUCACUGUGCAUAUGAGAGCCGAGCUGUUGACUAGAAGUUCACCUCUCACACCGACAGAGAUGGCUAUUCUCAGCCCAGUGUUGUUGCCUUUAUUUUCCUAGGAGGUAAGGACCAAAACCUGGAACUUGUCAUGGAUUAAGCUGCCAGCAUUUUUACUAGAGAUGAGAUUGGUAUACUUUUAUUUUUUGUUCUUCAAGUCAUAGAUUGAGUCAGGGUUGGAAGGGAUGGUAAGGAUCAUCUAGUUCCAACCCCAUCUUCUGGUAAUCUCUUGGUUAAAGCUCAGCAAAUAGUACUUAAGGGAAACCAGCUCAUUGGGUGUUCAUGGCUAGAGGAUGCAAAAGCAGAUACAUCAGUUCACACACGCUCUGAAGGCAGAGACAAGAGUGUGUUGGUGCAAGUGCUGUAUCAGCUGAUUUGGUGCCUGCAUGAAAACAUAAUCCUAGGUGUUUAAAACUGAUACACAAAUUCAGUAGCUAGUCAUGCUGUGGGUAAAUCCUUCCCAGUGCAGAUCACCUUAAUCUGAGUUCUGACAUUUUCUUGGAUAUCUGCUGUGUUAAAGAGCUCUUUGUCAGUUUCAACAAGCAUCUUAAUUUAUCCUUUAAACACUUUAUCUGAAGGAAAACAAGGAAGCCGAACCAUCCAGAGAAGACAGGGUGGUCUAAUAGAUGGAAGUAGAGCCAGGAGGAUUCUGGUUUCUAAUCCCUUUGAGCUGCUGCUUCAGUCCUUGACCUCCUCAUACUUUUGUUAACAUGCCUAGAAAAUGGAGCACAAAAACUAGAGUUUGAAAACUUGAUACUGUGUCUGUGUUGAUAUUAGAAGUAAAUGCCAAGGAUCUGA